AGAGCGAACGCUGGCGGCGUGCCUAACACAUGCAAGUCGCACGAGAAAGGGACUUCGGUCUUGAGUAAAGUGGCGCACGGGUGAGUAACACGUGAAUUAUCUACCUCCGAAUGGGGAAUAACUGAGAGAAAUCUUAGCUAAUACCGCAUAAUACCUACGGGUCAAAGCAGCAAUGCGUUUGGAGAGGAGUUCGCGGUCGAUUAGUUAGUUGGCGGGGUAAUGGCCCACCAAGACGAUGAUCGAUAUCCGGCCUGAGAGGGCGCACGGACACACUGGAACUGAAACACGGUCCAGACUCCUACGGGAGGCAGCAGUGGGGAAUUUUGCGCAAUGGGGGAAACCCUGACGCAGCAACGCCGCGUGGAGGAUGAAAUAUCUUGGUAUGUAAACUCCUUUCGAUGGGGAAGAUAAUGACGGUACCCAUAGAAGAAGCCCCGGCUAACUUCGUGCCAGCAGCCGC
This 460-nucleotide ribosomal RNA is filed under the name uncultured bacterium. Its description in RNAcentral is "SSU rRNA". It matches the Rfam family "Bacterial small subunit ribosomal RNA", at positions 26 to 518 of the family's 1533-position model. The record is from RNAcentral.